AAUUUAAGCAUAUUAAUAAGCGGAGGAAAAGAAACCAACAGGGAUAUUCUUAGUAACGGCGAGUGAAGAGAAUAGAGCCCAGCGCUGAAUCGUAUUGCUUGAAAGGGUAAAACGACAUGUAGCGUGAAGCUGGCGGCUGUUGCUGUUGUCGAUGCGUGUAAGUCUUCUUGAGCGGGGCUCAGUCCCAGAGAUGGUGCUAGGCCCGUAUCGCGUAUGACAUGUAUGGCGACGCCCGCUUGCGGAGAGUCAGGUUGCUUGGGAACGCAAUCUAAAGCCGGUGGUACACUCCAUCGAAGGCUAAAUAUGACCACAAGUCCGAUAGCGAACAAGUACCGUGAGGGAAAAUUGAAAAGCACUUUGAAGAGAGAGCGAAAUAGUGCGUGAAACCGCUCAGAGGCAAGCAGAUGGAUUCUCGAAGGUGUGCAUAGGAUUUAUUUCCUAGUUCUCACGCCACCGUUGUUGCAGAUGUGCACCAUGCGCUGACAUUUGGACGCUUGAGAUUGGGACUUGUGCCUGCUUGAGACGCUCGGUGUUGGACGCGUUGAGUUUUUGUGGCAUACUGUAACAAAGCAGGGCAUUUUGUCGCUGUAAAGCGCCGGCUGUGGCCGCUUGCUGGCGCAUAUUGUUGUGGCGAGACGCAAGUUUCGACAUGCGGUAUGCGUUGCAAAUCGGUUAUUAGCACCGGCAAGACAAUUUUAAGACCCGGUGGCGAGUAGAUGAAAUUCCCAUCUAACCCGUCUUGAAACACGGGACCAAGGA
RNAcentral lists this ribosomal RNA (759 nucleotides) under Testechiniscus spitsbergensis. RNAcentral describes it as "LSU rRNA". It matches the Rfam family "Eukaryotic large subunit ribosomal RNA", at positions 31 to 672 of the family's 3401-position model. Lineage: Eukaryota; Metazoa; Tardigrada; Heterotardigrada; Echiniscoidea; Echiniscidae. The record is from RNAcentral.